AGUGAACGCUGGCGGUAGGCAUAACACAUGCAAGUCGAACGGCAGCACAGUAAGAGCUUGCUCUUACGGGUGGCGAGUGGCGGACGGGUGAGGAAUACAUCGGAAUCUACUUUUUCGUGGGGGAUAACGUAGGGAAACUUACGCUAAUACCGCAUACGACCUACGGGUGAAAGCAGGGGAUCUUCGGACCUUGCGCGAUUGAAUGAGCCGAUGUCGGAUUAGCUAGUUGGCGGGGUAAAGGCCCACCAAGGCGACGAUCCGUAGCUGGUCUGAGAGGAUGAUCAGCCACACUGGAACUGAGACACGGUCCAGACUCCUACGGGAGGCAGCAGUGGGGAAUAUUGGACAAUGGGCGCAAGCCUGAUCCAGCCAUACCGCGUGGGUGAAGAAGGCCUUCGGGUUGUAAAGCCCUUUUGUUGGGAAAGAAAAGCAGCAGGUUAAUACCCCGCUGUUCUGACGGUACCCAAAGAAUAAGCACCGGCUAACUUCGUG
Molecule: ribosomal RNA, 492 nt
Filed under: uncultured bacterium
Lineage: Bacteria
Description: partial 16S ribosomal RNA
Rfam family: Bacterial small subunit ribosomal RNA
Source: RNAcentral